Molecule: ribosomal RNA, 435 nt
Filed under: uncultured Lachnospiraceae bacterium
Lineage: Bacteria; Bacillati; Bacillota; Clostridia; Lachnospirales; Lachnospiraceae
Description: partial 16S ribosomal RNA
Rfam family: Bacterial small subunit ribosomal RNA
Source: RNAcentral
ACGGAAGGCAGCAGUGGGGAAUAUUGCACAAUGGGCGAAAGCCUGAUGCAGCGACGCCGCGUGAGUGAAGAAGUAUUUCGGUAUGUAAAGCUCUAUCAGCAGGGAAGAAAAAUGACGGUACCUGACUAAGAAGCUCCGGCUAAAUACGUGCCAGCAGCCGCGGUAAUACGUAUGGAGCAAGCGUUAUCCGGAUUUACUGGGUGUAAAGGGAGCGUAGACGGAUGUGCAAGUCUGAUGUGAAAGGCUGCGGCUUAACUGCAGGACUGCAUUGGAAACUGUACAUCUGGAGUGCCGGAGAGGUAAGCGGAAUUCCUAGUGUAGCGGUGAAAUGCGUAGAUAUUAGGAGGAACACCAGUGGCGAAGGCGGCUUACUGGACUGUAACUGACGUUGAGGCUCGAAAGCGUGGGGAGCAAACAGGAUUAGAUACCCUGGUA